GCGCAAUAUUUGAGGACCCUAAUUAAUUGCCGCAAACCUUGCCAAUGGAAACGGCAAAAAUUGCUACUCCAAGAGUCGAUCGUGCCACUAUAUAAACAGCCACAUAAGGAACAGCCUAAGCACAACCAAAACCAAAAGGUCAAUACGAGAAAGAAAACUACUACGUUAUGGCUGUAAUCCAGAGCAACACGAGGGUUAUGUUCUUGAUGGCUCUUCUGAUGAUUUCGACCACUUUGUUAUCCAUUCAAGCAUCAGGGAGGAACAUAGGUCUGGAAGCCAACACUGGUGCCGUAAGUUCAGAAGCCAACGCUGGCACUGAGGAGAACCGCGAACCCUACCUUCCACCCCCGUGCGAUCCUGAAUAUUGUGAUGAAGCAUGUAAGGAAGAUAAGCACAAAGUUGGGACAUGUCAUAAAGAUGAUGGUGGUUGCUGGUGCAGCUAGAUGGCACUUCCCAGGUGCUGCAGAAAUUUCUAGCAAGGAAUUAACCGAGAAUAAAGUUAUGAAACAAGGCUUGAGGCCAUUAAUUUUUCUUUUCUUUUGUAGGAACCAUUAAGAUUUUUCUUCCAAUUUCUUGAUAAAUAGCAGAUCUCUAUUUCUUGAGAUA
Non-coding RNA from Lolium perenne, 606 nucleotides. The record is from RefSeq and is a predicted model, not a curated record. NCBI's taxonomy places the organism in Eukaryota, Viridiplantae, Streptophyta, Magnoliopsida, Poales, Poaceae.